This 720-nucleotide ribosomal RNA is filed under the name uncultured fungus. RNAcentral describes it as "SSU rRNA". It matches the Rfam family "Eukaryotic small subunit ribosomal RNA", at positions 828 to 1570 of the family's 1831-position model. The record is from RNAcentral. Lineage: Eukaryota; Fungi.
CGGCGGUUCUAUUUUGUUGGUUUCUAGAGCCACCGUAAUGAUUAAUAGGGAUAGUCGGGGGCAUCAGUAUUCAAUUGUCAGAGGUGAAAUUCUUGGAUUUAUUGAAGACUAACUACUGCGAAAGCAUUUGCCAAGGAUGUUUUCAUUAAUCAGUGAACGAAAGUUAGGGGAUCGAAGACGAUCAGAUACCGUCGUAGUCUUAACCAUAAACUAUGCCGACUAGGGAUCGGGCGGUGUUCAAUUUAUGACCCGCUCGGCACCUUACGAGAAAUCAAAGUUUUUGGGUUCUGGGGGGAGUAUGGUCGCAAGGCUGAAACUUAAAGGAAUUGACGGAAGGGCACCACCAGAUGUGGAGCCUGCGGCUUAAUUUGACUCAACACGGGAAAUCUCACCAGGUCCAGACACAUUAAGGAUUGACAGAUUGAGAGCUCUUUCUUGAUUAUGUGGGUGGUGGUGCAUGGCCGUUCUUAGUUGGUGGAGUGAUUUGUCUGCUUAAUUGCGAUAACGAACGAGACCUUAACCUGCUAAAUAGCCAGGCUAUCUUUUGAUGGUCGCCGGCUUCUUAGAGGGACUAUCGGCUCAAGCCGAUGGAAGUUUGAGGCAAUAACAGGUCUGUGAUGCCCUUAGAUGUUCUGGGCCGCACGCGCGCUACACUGACAGAGCCAACGAGUAUAAACCUUAACCGAAAGGUUUGGGUAAUCUUGUUAAACUCUGUCGUGC